RNAcentral lists this ribosomal RNA (530 nucleotides) under Bacillaceae bacterium M2-C2. RNAcentral describes it as "bacterial SSU rRNA". It matches the Rfam family "Bacterial small subunit ribosomal RNA", at positions 1 to 494 of the family's 1533-position model. Lineage: Bacteria; Bacillati; Bacillota; Bacilli; Caryophanales; Bacillaceae. The record is from RNAcentral.
GUUGUCCGGCUUGAGCUUGAAUCCUGGCUCAGGACGAACGCUGGCGGCGUGCCUAAUACAUGCAAGUCGAGCGCAGGAAACUAAGCAGAUCCCUUCGGGGUGAAGUUUUGUGGAAUGAGCGGCGGACGGGUGAGUAACACGUGGGCAACCUACCUAUAAGACUGGGAUAACUCAUGGAAACAGGAGCUAAUACCGGAUAACCGGUGCGUUCGCAUGAACGCACUUUAAAAGGCGGCAUUUGCUGUCACUUAUAGAUGGGCCCGCGGCGCAUUAGCUAGUUGGUGAGGUAAUGGCUCACCAAGGCAACGAUGCGUAGCCGACCUGAGAGGGUGAUCGGCCACACUGGGACUGAGACACGGCCCAGACUCCUACGGGAGGCAGCAGUAGGGAAUCUUCCGCAAUGGACGAAAGUCUGACGGAGCAACGCCGCGUGAACGAUGAAGGUUUUCGGAUCGUAAAGUUCUGUUGUUAGGGAAGAACACGUACCGUUCGAAUAGGGCGGUAUCUGACGGUACCUAACGAGAAGCCCG